This is a long non-coding RNA of Carya illinoinensis, 1715 nucleotides long. RefSeq lists it as uncharacterized. The record is from RefSeq and is a predicted model, not a curated record. Lineage: Eukaryota; Viridiplantae; Streptophyta; Magnoliopsida; Fagales; Juglandaceae. The transcript has 7 exons.
CACUUAUGCCCUCCUCCUCCUCCUCCUCCUCCUCCCCAAUGCAUCACUCGACAGUCGACACUCCUCAUUUCUCCAUUUCCAGAGACGUAGAGAGAGAGAGAGAGUGAGAGAUGUCAGGGUGGGACGAGGGGGCAGUGUACUACAGCGACCAGGCUCACUCGUGGCGCGGCAGCGGUGAAGACCACGAUCCGGAGGUGGGGAGCCGACACUCCGUCCUCCAGAAGUUCAAGGAGUUCAUCCGUGGCUUUGAGACCGACGAGAAUGUUUUCCCCUACAGAGAAAGCCUCAUCCACAAUCCCAACAAGUCCCUUCUCGUUGACUUGGAAGACCGCGAUUCCUGCGACCCCGACCUCCAGGAUUUGCUCUGCUCCUCCCCCGCCGACUAGUUGCCUCUUUUUGAGACGGCAGCGUCGGAGGUUUUGGCGAGCUUGCGGUCGAAAGUGGCUGGAGAGACUGGAGAAAUGGAAGAUCCGGUGACCGGGAACGUUCAGGUCUUGCUGACGUCGAAGGAGGAUCCGGUCUCGAUGAGGUUUCUUGGGGCUCGAUCAAUAUAUAUCGAAACUUGUUAAAAUAGCUGGGAUCGCUAUAGCUGCAUCUAGGACUAAUGCAAAGGCGACAUAUGUGACUCUUAUCUGCAAGCACUGUAGAAAUUCAAAGCGAGUUUCUUGUCGGCCAGGCCUUGGUGGUGCAAUUGUCCCUCGCUCUUGUGAUCAUAUCCCUCAGCCGGGAGAAGAGCCAUGCCCACUUGAUCCAUGGCUUGUUGUUCCAGAUAAGAGCAAGUAUAUAUGUCGAUCAACAAACCUUGAAACUGCAGGAGAAUCCAGAGGAUGUUCCAACUGGGGAGCUUCCGAGGCAAUUGGAGUUUUGUACGGAAAAUUAAUGAAAUGAAAUAAUGAUUCAACUCAUUUAAUAGAUACAAACCUGGGUAUAUAAUAGAAACAUACAAAUUUAUUAUUUUUAUCAUUUUAUUUAAACAUACAAAUUUACAAUUCAAUAUAUGUGUGUUUAAAUAAAAUGAAAAAAAUGCUAAAUCACAUGUUGUGUAGUGUCGUGUAGGGAAUGUUGAUAAGUAGAAUUUUUCAUAAUAGAAAAGACUUGGACAUUAUAUAUAUAAUAGGAAACAAAAAAAAAACUUUAAUCAGGACUUUGAAGUACUGCCUGAUUUGGAUAGUGAGUUAAGAUAAAAUAAGAUAAAAGUUAAAUAAAAUAUUAUUAGAAUAUAAUUUUUUUAAUAUAAUUUUUGUGUUGAAUUUGAAAUGGUUGAAUUGUUUGUUGAAUUUUGUUUGAAAGUUUGAUAAAAUUGUAAUAAUUAGAUGAGAUAAGAUGAAUUGAAAUGAUUUUGAAAACAAAAGAGGUAAACUAUACAGUAUUGAUCUUCUAGUUUUUGGAAACUGCCUUCGAGCUCUGUUGGGAUGUAGUUCUUGUUCUGCUGGAAUUGGCAUGGAUGAAUGAAUGAUCACAAAAUAAUAGUAUUGGCAAUUCCAGGCUAUAUAUAAUCAUAUUUUCAUUCAAAAUACAUAAUUGCUCCUCCAUACACUUGAAACAAAUUUGAAAUCAAUCAUCUCCUAAAAGCACGCAUAAAAAUUCUGAUGUACAAGUUGGAUCCAAUGUUGUGAUCAUCAUCAUAAUGACGUUGUGGGUACAUGUCGGAUUCAAUGACGUUGCAAUCAUCAUCAUAAUCAAUACGACGCCUCUUAGAAAGUUGACUUCCAUGA